Molecule: ribosomal RNA, 465 nt
Filed under: Vreelandella stevensii
Lineage: Bacteria; Pseudomonadati; Pseudomonadota; Gammaproteobacteria; Oceanospirillales; Halomonadaceae
Description: partial 16S ribosomal RNA
Rfam family: Bacterial small subunit ribosomal RNA
Source: RNAcentral
CCUACGGGUGGCAGCAGUGGGGAAUAUUGGACAAUGGGCGAAAGCCUGAUCCAGCCAUGCCGCGUGCGUGAAGAAGGCCUUCGGGUUGUAAAGCACUUUCAGUGGGGAAGAAAGCCUUGGGGCUAAUACCCUCGAGGAAGGACAUCACCCACAGAAGAAGCACCGGCUAACUCCGUGCCAGCAGCCGCGGUAAUACGGAGGGUGCGAGCGUUAAUCGGAAUUACUGGGCGUAAAGCGCGCGUAGGCGGUCUGAUAAGCCGGUUGUGAAAGCCCCGGGCUCAACCUGGGAACGGCAUCCGGAACUGUCAGGCUAGAGUGCAGGAGAGGAAGGUAGAAUUCCCGGUGUAGCGGUGAAAUGCGUAGAGAUCGGGAGGAAUACCAGUGGCGAAGGCGGCCUUCUGGACUGACACUGACGCUGAGGUGCGAAAGCGUGGGUAGCAAACAGGAUUAGAUACCCUGGUAGUC